Molecule: ribosomal RNA, 490 nt
Filed under: uncultured bacterium
Lineage: Bacteria
Description: SSU rRNA
Rfam family: Bacterial small subunit ribosomal RNA
Source: RNAcentral
AGGAUGAACGCUAGCGGCAGGCCUAAUACAUGCAAGUCGAACGGUGGUAGCAAUACCAUAGUGGCACACGGGUGCGUAACACGUAACUAACCUACCUAUAACUGGGGGAUAGCCCGCCGAAAGGCGGAUUAAUACCGCAUAAGCUACUGAUUUGGCAUCAGGUUAGUAGUAAAGAUUUAUUGGUUAUAGAUGGGGUUGCGGGUCAUUAGCUAGUUGGUAGGGUAACGGCUUACCAAGGCGACGAUGACUAGGGGAGCUGAGAGGCUGGUCCCCCACACGGGCACUGAGAUACGGGCCCGACUCCUACGGGAGGCAGCAGUAGGGAAUAUUGGGCAAUGGGCGAGAGCCUGACCCAGCCAUGCCGCGUGCAGGAUGAAGGCUUUCUGAGUCGUAAACUGCUUUUGACAGGGAAGAAUAAGUACUACGUGUAGUAUGAUGACGGUACCUGCAGAAUAAGCACCGGCUAACUCCGUGCCAGCAGCCGCGGUAA